CUACGGGAUGCAGCAGUAGAGAAUCUUCCACAAUGGGCGAAAGCCUGAUGGAGCGACACCGCGUGAUGGAUGAAGGCCUAUGGGUUGUAAACAUCUUUUAUCUGGGAAGAAGAUCUGACGGUACCAGAUGAAUAAGGACCGGCUAAUUACGUGCCAGCAGCCGCGGUAAUACGUAAGGUCCAAGCGUUAUCCGGCAUUAUUGGGCGUAAAGCGUCCGCAGGUGGUUGUAUAAGUCUGUUAUUAAAUACCGGUGCUCAACAUCGGUGCUGUAAUGGAAACUAUGCAACUAGAGGAUGGGAGAGGUAUGUGGAAUUGUGCAAGUAGGGGUAAAAUCCGUAGAUAUGCACAGGAACACCAAAAGCGAAGGCAGCAUACUGGACCAUUCCUGACACUCAGGGACGAAAGCGUGGGUAGCAAAAGGGAUUAGAUACCCCCGUAGUC
Molecule: ribosomal RNA, 441 nt
Filed under: uncultured bacterium
Lineage: Bacteria
Description: partial 16S ribosomal RNA
Rfam family: Bacterial small subunit ribosomal RNA
Source: RNAcentral